Long non-coding RNA from Equus asinus (donkey), 1611 nucleotides. Lineage: Eukaryota; Metazoa; Chordata; Mammalia; Perissodactyla; Equidae. The record is from Ensembl.
CGAAGGACAGUCGGCCUUCCCGAGUGUGGAAAAUCGAGGUGCCCCUGGAAGAGGGCCAAGGACGCGGCCGUGGGCUGCGGGGCCCGGGACCUCCCGGAGGAUGCCCGCGCCGCGCCGCCUCCGCCCGCGCCUCCGUUCGCGCGCGUCAGAGCCGCAGUGACGUCGCCAGCAGGAUGGCCUGGACUUUCUUCCCACGUGGCAGCUGGGUCCCAGGAAGGACAUUCUGAGAGAUCAAGCCCUGAUGUGUACGCACUUCUCAAGCCUCUGCUUGAGUCGCACUUGCCGAUGACUAAGGCCCUGGGACCUCAAGUACAAUGCUGGGAAGAAGAGUUGACGCAGAUAUUUUUGUCUUGCUCCUGAUUUCAAAAGGGAUGUUUCAAACAUUUCACCUUGAAGAAUGAUAUUUGCUGUAAUUAUUUGGUAAAAACUCUUUAUCAGCACCACCUGUGCCCACUGUCUGUUCUCGAUGACCACUGGUUCGGUGAAUGAAUGCAAGCACAAAACGGUGGCCCUCGAGAUGAAGAGCCCAGGGUUCGACCACUCUCCAGUCGGGCCACUUGGCCACAUAAUCAAUCACUGGACACUAUGUUCCAAACCAAGGGUAAUGAGGCAGCUGCCGCCGUGUCCACUUCCUGUUCUGGGGCCUCAGCGUCUGAAGAGGGCAGACAGCGCGCUCAGGACCUGCCCCUGCCCCGGCCCCUUCGUAUCAGGAAUUCGCUUGUCCUGGAUGGUUCAGCACUUCACAUUUUCAAAAUUUCAGCCAUUGUGUUUAUUGAAAGUGCACCGAGCACAAAACACCGCAGUUCAUCUCUCUCUCUUUCUCGCUCUCUCUCUCGUGGAUGGGAAGAUUGUUCUGAAUCUAUGAAGGCAUUUAUUCACAGUGGCUUCCGAGUCAGGCUCUGCACUACUUCAAUUUUAGAUGUUUUUCUUAAUCUCCUGUUGUGUGUGGCAGUUCAGGAACAGACACUGUGAGACAGAGAGGGGGACUCUGGAUCCGGAUUCAGGCAGCCCGGGUUCAAAUCCUAGGCUUUCCCCUCCCCGUGCCUAGCUGAGUGACCGUGGGCACGUCAUUUCACUUCCAGAAGCCUCGCCUUCGUGGUCCAUCAAAUGAAAUACUAUCUCCCUCUCCAGAGUUGUUGUAAGGAUGAGCUGAAAUGGCGUGUCUGAGCACAGCACAGAGCCGUAUCCCGUUUGUGUACAUUUCCUUCAGUUCAUGCACGUGGCUUCUUUUCCAGGUGAAUUCCAGACUUCGGGAGUUUGUAGACUAGGAAAAUCUCAAAACACGUUUUGAUGAGCAUACUUUUGCCAAGUUUUUAUUUUGCCAACUUUUAAUGUUGCCAAGUAAGAACAGUAUUAAAAAAACCAACACAACUCACCUUCAUCUAUUUCCACUAAAUUUCAUAAAAGAAUAUUUAAAAAAAAAAUCAAGAGGACAUCGUUACGAGUCAAAAAUGGAUUAUGUUUAGCUUUACGAAAACCUCUCUGUAUUGCUCUUACUCAUCUUAUCUUAGAGAUGAGUGAACACUUGGUCUGCAGAUCAGUAUUUGGGAGCCGUCGCUCAUCCCAGACUCGCAGGGCUUUCCAGAUUAGCGGUUCCUCGCUGUAGACGCC